Molecule: ribosomal RNA, 628 nt
Filed under: bacterium W15S54
Lineage: Bacteria
Description: bacterial SSU rRNA
Rfam family: Bacterial small subunit ribosomal RNA
Source: RNAcentral
GAGCGGAGACGACACUAACAAUCCUUCGGGUGCGUUAAUGGGCGUCGAGCGGCGGACGGGUGAGUAAUGCCUAGGAAAUUGCCUUGAUGUGGGGGAUAACCAUUGGAAACGAUGGCUAAUACCGCAUAAUGCCUACGGGCCAAAGAGGGGGACCUUCGGACCUCUCGCGUCAAGAUAUGCCUAGGUGGGAUUAGCUAGUUGGUGAGGUAAUGGCUCACCAAGGCGACGAUCCCUAGCUGGUCUGAGAGGAUGAUCAGCCACACUGGAACUGAGACACGGUCCAGACUCCUACGGGAGGCAGCAGUGGGGAAUAUUGCACAAUGGGCGAAAGCCUGAUGCAGCCAUGCCGCGUGUAUGAAGAAGGCCUUCGGGUUGUAAAGUACUUUCAGUUGUGAGGAAGGGUGUGUAGUUAAUAGCUGCGCAUCUUGACGUUAGCAACAGAAGAAGCACCGGCUAACUCCGUGCCAGCAGCCGCGGUAAUACGGAGGGUGCGAGCGUUAAUCGGAAUUACUGGGCGUAAAGCGCAUGCAGGUGGUUCAUUAAGUCAGAUGUGAAAGCCCGGGGCUCAACCUCGGAACUGCAUUUGAAACUGGUGAACUAGAGUGCUGUAGAGGGGGGUAGAAUUUCA